AGUGAACGCUGGCGGUAGGCCUAACACAUGCAAGUCGAACGGCAGCACAGUAAGAGCUUGCUCUUACGGGUGGCGAGUGGCGGACGGGUGAGGAAUACAUCGGAAUCUACUUUUUCGUGGGGGUUAACGUAGGGAAACUUACGCUAAUACCGCAUACGACCUACGGGUGAAAGCAGUGGAUCUUCGGACCUUGCGCGAUUGAAUGAGCCGAUGUCGGAUUAGCUAGUUGGCGGGUGAAAGGCCCACCAAGGCGACGAUCCGUAGCUGGUCUGAGAGGCUGGUCAGCCACACUGGAACUGAGACACGGUCCAGACUCCUACGGGAGGCAGCAGUGGGGAAUAUUGGACAAUGGGCGCAAGCCUGAUCCAGCCAUACCGCGUGGGUGAAGAAGGCCUUCGGGUUGUAAAGCCCUUUUGUUGGGAAAGAAAAGCAGCAGGUUAAUACCCCGCUGUUCUGACGGUACCCAAAGAAUAAGCACCGGCUAACUUCGUG
This 492-nucleotide ribosomal RNA is filed under the name uncultured bacterium. RNAcentral's name for it is "partial 16S ribosomal RNA". It matches the Rfam family "Bacterial small subunit ribosomal RNA", at positions 29 to 507 of the family's 1533-position model. The record is from RNAcentral.